Molecule: ribosomal RNA, 253 nt
Filed under: uncultured bacterium
Lineage: Bacteria
Description: partial 16S ribosomal RNA
Rfam family: Bacterial small subunit ribosomal RNA
Source: RNAcentral
UACGUAGGGUGCAAGCGUUGUCCGGAAUUAUUGGGCGUAAAGAGCUCGUAGGCGGUUUGUCGCGUCUGCUGUGAAAACUCAGGGCUUAACUCUGAGCUUGCAGUGGGUACGGGCAGACUAGAGUGCGGUAGGGGAGACUGGAAUUCCUGGUGUAGCGGUGAAAUGCGCAGAUAUCAGGAGGAACACCGGUGGCGAAGGCGGGUCUCUGGGCCGUAACUGACGCUGAGGAGCGAAAGCGUGGGGAGCAAACAGG